AACGUGUUUAUCUGCUUGGCCAGUCGUUUUGGGACCUAUUCCGGUUAAAAAAAAAAAAAAUGUGAGGAAAAACGGUUCUGGAGAGCAUGAGGGAGAAAAUACAACCGAACUGCCGGGAAACGUUUAACCGUACAGAAAAAGAGAAUAGCUACUGCUCUUUACAGCAGCCCCUAGACAUCCCACGGCAGCUAAAAGACUUGAAGAAGCCAGCGAGCCAGUCAGAUAAAUAUAAAGAGAGAGUGGGAAAGGAGGAAAAGAGCGAGACGUUAUUUAUUGAUAAGACCUACUCGAUUGAUAUGCAGUGACGUGAUAGCAGUUCUCGCAAGGAAUCCCAAAAAUAUCAAUGAACUCAGAAGUGUAAGGAUGAAUCUUCUCAAAUUGGUGUGCUAAUCUGCUUAGCUGCUACAGGAUAUGUUCAGUGGAAGUUGAUGCUGCCAAAAUAAGGUUAUAAAGAAGAGUUAACCCCAAAAUCCAGAUUUGGUACUUUGGCAAGUCUGAGCACAGUUUGAGAGACUGUUGAGAUCUCUUCUGGAACUCUGGAAAAAAGCAGAUGAGACACAUCUGAGAAUCAGGAAACCUAUGCAAAAACCUCAAUUUGCACUCCAUUUGACAUCAUUGGAGAUCUUGGGGAAACAGUUGAGAUAUUAGAGAGAUGUCCUAUGUGGUUUUUCCAUCAAGUGCUGUGCUAUUUAUCCUCUAUCUGAACAAUAGAGGUAAGUCAGCUGAGAAACUCAUCAAGGAGAACUUUUCCCCCUCAAAACAGGAGGGCCCAUCCAGCAGCCUUUAAUCAAUACAGGAAACAUGAACUUCAGGGGACACGAGGAACCUCUGACCGCAGAUGAAGAUUAACCACCGCUGCCUCGGACAUGUUGUGCCCGUCUUCAUUUCUACAAGCUCCGGCUACCAACAGAUCCAUCUAUCACCAGUGAUCAGAUGCUGUUUUUCUAACCAAGCAAUGCAGGGUGACAUGUACAGUAUUUUCCUCAAUAGUCCUAGGUGAGCUUCUGUAUCAUAAAUCACAUCAGACAAAGCCCAGCUUGACCUCUAAAUGGGGGAGAUAUCGUCGUAUUCAGAUUCUCAGUGGUGAGGGUUGCUCAUAACCUCGGGUGUGCUAGUCUUGGUUUGAGCUUUGAACAAUGUUUGAGGAAUCCCACGGUCCAGGUGGGAAAAACAAACGAUCCAUGUCUUGAGCCCCAUGGUGUGCGCUUUCCAGUAGACGGAAGCUCUUGCCAUGUCCUCCUGUAUCAGGACUUGAGGAGAGCACAAAUGAUUCGCGCUUGAAGAUCAAGUCUGGGUGAAGUAUAAAUUGCUAACACCCUCUGCGCUACCCAUGCCUGUUUGUCUGCAAGCCCAGAUCAGAGGAAGCGCAAUCGAUGUCCUCAAACUGCCUCUGGAUCUUCAGUCUCCAGGACUUGACGCAACCCUCCCAAAAGUGUAUCUGCAUACCGUUUAAACGAGUCUCCACCAGGCCUCUGCACGUUUUAUGAAUUCAUGUGCUCUCCAGGUACAUUCAAGCAUCCCUCAAUUCAGCCUACUGCUCCGCAGUCGCCGCUGGUUUCUUUUGUGUUAAUUAGUCACUUGCCAUGCCUUAACAACCCGAGAUCAGAGUCGACGGGGCAGUUUCUCUCUGUUCCACAGCCUUUGAUGAUGGUUUGGUGAGCGGGUCUGGAGCUCAAGAGCUUGUUCGUGCGAUAAAGCGCCGCCCUGAGCUGUUGCUCUUUUUCCCAUCAGCCAGGGAGAACGCGAGCACGGCUGCCCUGCAGUGCCCACAUUGGUUCGUAUUGGCUAUUCUGUUUUUUCCACCAGCAAUCCUCAUUUCCUACAUGAAAGGCACUUACUGUAAUAUUGCCUCAGUAUUUCCUAGAACUGUGGAGGGCGAGUUCCAUUUUUUCAGAAUUCAAGCGUGCCUUUGUGCAGUAUGAGGUAAUGGUGGAUUAAGGAGCGUGAAAGGGAUUUUGGGUUGUGUCAUUGACUAGUUUUUGGCGUGCACAGGUCCCAGUCAGAGGGUCUCUCUAAAUUAUUGAUCAAUGAGACGAGUGGUGAAAACACAGCUUAGCACUAUGCACUCUAUCCCCCCUCCUGCUCUCUUCCAGAUACAUCAAGCCCAAUGUAAAAGCUCCACUGUGCAAAAAAGCCUUCAAGUUCAGUUCAAUUAUUCAGCAUCCCUCCCCGAUUAUGAAUUAUUGAGGUAAAAGCAUGUUCACAUAUAUGGCUGUGCGUCGAGCUCAAGACACAAGUGUCUCAUUGGGAAGAUAAUGAAGAGAGGCUGUAAUUACAAAAGGUGGUUUUAACUUGGAGCAAACGAUUGAAUGCAUUGUGGAGUGAAUGUGAAAUUAAUAUGGACCCCACUAACUUUAAAUUACUGUCAUUAAUUACUCACCCUCAUGUCGUUCCAAGCCCGUAAGAUCUUUGUUCAUCUUCGAAACACAAAUUAAGAUAUUUUUGAUGCAUUCCGUGAGCUCUCUG
Long non-coding RNA from Cyprinus carpio carpio, 2466 nucleotides. The record is from Ensembl. Lineage: Eukaryota; Metazoa; Chordata; Actinopteri; Cypriniformes; Cyprinidae.